Molecule: ribosomal RNA, 464 nt
Filed under: uncultured bacterium
Lineage: Bacteria
Description: partial 16S ribosomal RNA
Rfam family: Bacterial small subunit ribosomal RNA
Source: RNAcentral
ACGCACGCUGGCGGCGUGCUUCACCCCUGCCAGUCGCACGGAAAGGCCCUGCUUGCAGGGUCCUCGAGUGGCGAACGGGUGAGUAACACGUGGGUGAUCUGCCCUGCACUUCGGGAUAAGCCUGGGAAACUGGGUCUAAUACCGGAUAGGAGCCAUUUUUAGUGUGAUGGUUGGAAAGUUUUUUCGGUGUAGGAUGAGCUCGCGGCCUAUCAGCUUGUUGGUGGGGUAAUGGCCUACCAAGGCGGCGACGGGUAGCCGGCCUGAGAGGGUGGACGGCCACAUUGGGACUGAGAUACGGCCCAGACUCCUACGGGAGGCAGCAGUGGGGAAUAUUGCACAAUGGGCGCAAGCCUGAUGCAGCGACGCCGCGGGGGGGAUGACGGCCUUCGGGUUGUAAACUCCUUUCGCUAGGGACGAAGCUUUUUGUGACGGUACCUAGAUAAGAAGCACCGGCUAACUACGUG